RNAcentral lists this transfer RNA (74 nucleotides) under Candidatus Omnitrophota bacterium. RNAcentral's name for it is "tRNA-Arg". It matches the Rfam family "tRNA". Rfam says of the family: Transfer RNA (tRNA) molecules are approximately 80 nucleotides in length. Their secondary structure includes four short double-helical elements and three loops (D, anti-codon, and T loops). Further hydrogen bonds mediate the characteristic L-shaped molecular structure. tRNAs have two regions of fundamental functional importance: the anti-codon, which is responsible for specific mRNA codon recognition, and the 3' end, to which the tRNAs corresponding amino acid is attached (by aminoacyl-tRNA synthetases). tRNAs cope with the degeneracy of the genetic code in two manners: having more than one tRNA (with a specific anti-codon) for a particular amino acid; and 'wobble' base-pairing, i.e. permitting non-standard base-pairing at the 3rd anti-codon position. The record is from RNAcentral. Lineage: Bacteria; Pseudomonadati; Candidatus Omnitrophota.
GCGCCUGUAGCUCAUAUGGAUAGAGCAGCAGUUUCCUAAACUGCUUGUGGCAAGUUCGAUCCUUGCCAGGCGCA